This 466-nucleotide long non-coding RNA is filed under the name Heterocephalus glaber (naked mole-rat). RNAcentral's name for it is "lncRNA (ENSHGLG00100035698.1)". Lineage: Eukaryota; Metazoa; Chordata; Mammalia; Rodentia; Bathyergidae. The record is from RNAcentral.
GUCCGAUUGAAACCCUUUCUCUAGCGAUAGACUGUCAGAGGUUCAUGUUGAGUCUGAUGAGUCAGAAGGGCCUUUCAUCCAGAUCCCGGACUUCAGCAGAGGAAGCAGCUGGAGCCAGUGGAGUGAGGCUGAGCUCAGAGGGUCCUGCACCUGGCUCCCAUGGUGCCCUUGGAGGCAGAAAGUAAGGCUCAGAGAGGCUAAGUGGCUUCCCCACAAGCAGAUACAAUAUCUGGGAAGCCGAGCCUAAGAUCUGCAGGAGCCUGCAGAGCUGGACUAUGCCAUGUUGCUCAUGCUAAAGCCACGAGUCGCCCGGGCGGCCAGGAACAAGAGGAGGACAAGACUUGCCAGAGGCUUUCGGGACCAAAGCUUGAGCUGUAAGCCAGCCAGGUAUGCCUCCUGCCUUCUGUGUGCAAGAGCUUUUGGUUUUAUUUUCUCAUUCUGGUUUGGGGGUAUAUAAUCAUUAUAA